Molecule: long non-coding RNA, 221 nt
Filed under: Pan troglodytes (chimpanzee)
Lineage: Eukaryota; Metazoa; Chordata; Mammalia; Primates; Hominidae
Description: long non-coding RNA NONPTRT014007
Source: RNAcentral
GUGUAUUUCAAAAGCCUGAGAGGCAGAGGUGAAUGGUGUAGAUUUCAGUUUUAGUUCGAAAGCCUGAAAACCGGGAAUGCUAAGGGCAGAAGAAGGAAUGUUCCAGCUCAAGCAGUCAAGCAGAAGAAAAAACUUCAAACCUACAAAGGAAGAAAUAGAAUGAGACAAGAUGAGAAGCAGCAAGGACUUACGGCACAGAGAAGUUAAGGAGUUUGGCUGAG